AGACGCUCAAUUUGAGCUGGCUCCUUCGGGGUCCGCAUUGUAAUUUGCACAGGAUGCUUCGGGUGCGGCCCCUGUCUAAGUGCCCUGGAACGGGCCGUCAGAGAGGGUGAGAAUCCCGUCUGGGAUGGGGUGUCCGCGCCCGUGUGAAGCUCCUUCGACGAGUCGAGUUGUUUGGGAAUGCAGCUCUAAAUGGGUGGUAAAUUUCAUCUAAAGCUAAAUACUGGCCGGAGACCGAUAGCGAACAAGA
This 247-nucleotide ribosomal RNA is filed under the name Trichophyton eriotrephon. Its description in RNAcentral is "partial large subunit ribosomal RNA". It matches the Rfam family "Eukaryotic large subunit ribosomal RNA", at positions 103 to 349 of the family's 3401-position model. The record is from RNAcentral. Lineage: Eukaryota; Fungi; Ascomycota; Eurotiomycetes; Onygenales; Arthrodermataceae.